GAGCUACUCCCUCUGUCCGAAAAAGCUUGUCCCUCAAAUGGAUGUAUCUAACACAUAGUGUUAGAUGUGUUAGAUACAUCCAUUUGAGGGACAAGUUUGGGACAAACUUUUUCGAACGGAGGAAAUACUAC
Triticum aestivum (bread wheat) is the source of this 131-nucleotide non-coding RNA. NCBI's taxonomy places the organism in Eukaryota, Viridiplantae, Streptophyta, Magnoliopsida, Poales, Poaceae. The record is from Rfam.